UAGGGAAUCUUCCACAAUGGACGCAAGUCUGAUGGAGCAACGCCGCGUGAGUGAAGAAGGUUUUCGGAUCGUAAAGCUCUGUUGUUGGUGAAGAAGGAUAGAGGCAGUAACUGGUCUUUGUUUGACGGUAAUCAACCAGAAAGUCACGGCUAACUACGUGCCAGCAGCCGCGGUAAUACGUAGGUGGCAAGCGUUGUCCGGAUUUAUUGGGCGUAAAGCGAGCGCAGGCGGAAUGAUAAGUCUGAUGUGAAAGCCCACGGCUCAACCGUGGAACUGCUUCGGAAACUGUCAUUCUUGAGUGCAGAAGAGGAGAGUGGAAUUCCAUGUGUAGCGGUGGAAUGCGUAGAUAUAUGGAAGAACACCAGUGGCGAAGGCGGCUCUCUGGUCUGCAACUGACGCUGAGGCUCGAAAGCAUGGGUAGCGAACAGG
RNAcentral lists this ribosomal RNA (429 nucleotides) under bacterium. RNAcentral describes it as "partial 16S ribosomal RNA". It matches the Rfam family "Bacterial small subunit ribosomal RNA", at positions 355 to 776 of the family's 1533-position model. The record is from RNAcentral.